CCUACGGGAGGCAGCAGUGGGGAAUAUUGGACAAUGGGGGGAACCCUGAUCCAGCCAUGCCGCGUGUGUGAAGAAGGCCCUCGGGUUGUAAAGCACUUUCAGUGAGGAAGAACGCCUGGUGGUUAAUACCCAUCAGGAAAGACAUCACUCACAGAAGAAGCACCGGCUAACUCCGUGCCAGCAGCCGCGGUAAUACGGAGGGUGCGAGCGUUAAUCGGAAUUACUGGGCGUAAAGCGCGCGUAGGUGACUUGAUAAGCCGGUUGUGAAAGCCCCGGGCUCAACCUGGGAACGGCAUCCGGAACUGUCAAGCUAGAGUGCAGGAGAGGAAGGUAGAAUUCCCGGUGUAGCGGUGAAAUGCGUAGAGAUCGGGAGGAAUACCAGUGGCGAAGGCGGCCUUCUGGACUGACACUGACACUGAGGUGCGAAAGCGUGGGUAGCAAACAGGAUUAGAUACCCUGGUAGUC
Molecule: ribosomal RNA, 465 nt
Filed under: Vreelandella stevensii
Lineage: Bacteria; Pseudomonadati; Pseudomonadota; Gammaproteobacteria; Oceanospirillales; Halomonadaceae
Description: partial 16S ribosomal RNA
Rfam family: Bacterial small subunit ribosomal RNA
Source: RNAcentral